AUGAACGCUGGCGGCGUGGAUAAGGCAUGCAAGUCAAACGGUACAAUUUGCGAUUACAUCAAGAAUUGUGCAGUGGCAGACGGGGUAGUAACACGUAGGAACUUACCCCAGAGACGGACAUAACCCCGCGAAAGCGGGGCUAAUUCCCGAUGGACUCCGAGCGAAAGCGAGGAGUAAAUCACUUAGAUUGGCUCUGGGAAAGGCCUGCGGGCUAUCAGCUAGUUGGCGGGGUAAUGGCCCACCAAGGCGACGACGGCUAGGGGGAGUGAGAGCUUGGCCCCCACCAAUGGAACUGCGACACGGUCCAUACACCUACGGGUGGCAGCAGCCGAGAAUAUUCGACAAUGGGCGAAAGCCUGAUCGAGCGACGCCGCGUGCAGGAGGAAGUCCUUCGGGACGUAAACUGCUUUUUUAGGGGAGGAACGAAAGUGACUGUACCCUAAGAAUAAGGGCUUGCUAACCUCGU
RNAcentral lists this ribosomal RNA (466 nucleotides) under uncultured bacterium. RNAcentral's name for it is "bacterial SSU rRNA". It matches the Rfam family "Bacterial small subunit ribosomal RNA", at positions 29 to 506 of the family's 1533-position model. The record is from RNAcentral.